NNCCAGCUGACGAGUCCCAAACAGGACGAAACGCGCGUCCUGGAU
This is a non-coding RNA of Schistosoma mattheei, 45 nucleotides long. NCBI's taxonomy places the organism in Eukaryota, Metazoa, Platyhelminthes, Trematoda, Strigeidida, Schistosomatidae. The record is from Rfam.